UUAAAAUGAGAAUAAGGCAGUAACGUGACAAAAUGUGGAAAAGAUCAAGGGGUCUGAAUACUUUCCGAAUGCACUGUACAUAUCUGUAGCAAUGAGCAUCUUAGAUUAGCAAUACAAUGUAAUAGGUCAGUGUGUCUGUACAUAGGGCUUGUCUGAGACAGAACCUAGGUCAGUGUGUCUGUACAUAGGGCUUGUCUGAGACAGAACCCAGUGUGUCUGUACAUAGGGCUUGUCUGAGACAGAACCCAGUGUGUCUGUACAUAGGGCUUGUCUGAGACAGAACCUAGGUCAGUGUGUCUGUACAUAGGGCUUGUCUGAGACAGAACCUAGGUCAGUGUGUCUGUACAUAGGGCUUGUCUGAGACAGAACCUAGGUCAGUGUGUCUGUACAUAGGGCUUGUCUGAGACAGAACCUAGGUCAGUGUGUCUGUACAUAGGGCUUGUCUGAGACAGAACCUAGGUCAGUGUGUCUGUACAUAGGGCUUGUCUGAGACAGAACCUAGGUCAGUGUGUCUGUACAUAGGGCUUGUCUGAGACAGAACCUAGGUCAGUGUGUCUGUACAUAGGGCUUGUCUGAGACAGAACCUAGGUCAGUGUGUCUGUACAUAGGGCUUGUCUGAGACAGAACCCAGUGUGUCUGUACAUAGGGCUUGUCUGAGACAGAACCCAGUGUGUCUGUACAUAGGGCUUGUCUGAGACAGAACCCAGUGUGUCUGUACAUAGGGCUUGUCUGAGACAGAACCCAGUGUGUCUGUACAUAGGGCUUGUCUGAGACAGAACCCAGUGUGUCUGUACAUAGGUGUGUCUUACAUAGUCUGAGACAGAACCCAGUGUGUCUGUACAUAGGGCUUGUUUGAGAUAGAACCCAGUGUGUCUGUACAUAGGGCUUGUCUGAGACAGAACCCAGUGUGUCUGUACAUAGGGCUUGUCUGAGAUAGAACCUUUGGUAAAAACGGUUUCUGUAACUUCACUGAAGAAAUGGAAGGUUGCUGACCUAUGUUUUAUACAGCUGAAUGGAUUCUCUAUGUUCAAUUAAAGACCAUAUGAUUCA
Molecule: long non-coding RNA, 1050 nt
Organism: Oncorhynchus gorbuscha (pink salmon)
Lineage: Eukaryota; Metazoa; Chordata; Actinopteri; Salmoniformes; Salmonidae
Exons: 2
Source: RefSeq, a predicted model, not a curated record